GCACUGGUGGUUCAGGGGUAGAAUUCUCGCCUUACAUGCGGGAUACCCGGCUUCCAUUCCUGGCCAGUACA
This 71-nucleotide transfer RNA is filed under the name Loxodonta africana (African savanna elephant). It matches the Rfam family "tRNA". From Rfam's summary of the family: Transfer RNA (tRNA) molecules are approximately 80 nucleotides in length. Their secondary structure includes four short double-helical elements and three loops (D, anti-codon, and T loops). The record is from Rfam by way of RNAcentral. Lineage: Eukaryota; Metazoa; Chordata; Mammalia; Proboscidea; Elephantidae.